RNAcentral lists this non-coding RNA (944 nucleotides) under Cetomimus sp. AMS I34481001. RNAcentral's name for it is "12S rRNA". It matches the Rfam family "Bacterial small subunit ribosomal RNA". Lineage: Eukaryota; Metazoa; Chordata; Actinopteri; Beryciformes; Cetomimidae. The record is from RNAcentral.
CGAAGGCUUGGUCCUGACUUCACUAUCAACUUCAACUAAACUUAUACAUGCAAGUCUCCGCACUCCUGUGAAAAUGCCCUUAUCCCCCCGCCCGGGAAUAAGGAGCUGGCAUCAGGCACGCACCUGCAGCCCAAGACGCCUUGCUUAGCCACACCCCCAAGGGAACUCAGCAGUAAUAGAUAUUAAGCCAUGAGUGAAAACUCGACUUAGUUAAAGUAAAUUAGGGCCGGUUAAACUCGUGCCAGCUACCGCGGUUAUACGAGAGGCCCAAGCUGAUAGAUACGGCGUAAAGAGUGGUUAAGGAGAACCUAAACUAAAGCGGAACCCCCCCCAAGGCUGUUAUACGCACCCGGGGACAAGAAAACCCACCACGAAAGUGGCUUUAAUAACCCCGAAUCCACGAAAGCUAUGUCACAAACUGGGAUUAGAUACCCCACUAUGCCUAGCCCUAAACAUUGAUGGCACCCUACACCGCUAUCCGCCCGGGAACUACGAGCAUCAGCUUAAAACCCAAAGGACUUGGCGGUGCUUUAAACCCAUCUAGAGGAGCCUGUUCUAGAAUCGAUAAUCCCCGUUCAACCUCACCCCCCCUUGUUUUUCCCGCCUAUAUACCGCCGUCGUCAGCUUACCCUGUGAAGGUAAGAUAGUAAGCAAAGUUGAUAUAAUCUAAAACGUCAGGUCAAGGUGUAGCAUAUGGGGCGGGAAGAAAUGGGCUACAUUCCCUGCCCCAGGGAACACGAAAGAUGAAAUGAAAUUCUCAUCCGAAGGAGGAUUUAGCAGUAAGUAGAAAGCAGAGAGUUCAACUGAAACCGGCCCUAAAGCGCGCACACACCGCCCGUCACUCUCCCCAAAACCCACGAAUAGAUAACUAAUAAGUUAAUAAACCUUUAAGGGGAGGCAAGUCGUAACAUGGUAAGUGUACCGGAAGGUGUACUUGGAAGAAU